Molecule: long non-coding RNA, 445 nt
Filed under: Marmota monax (woodchuck)
Lineage: Eukaryota; Metazoa; Chordata; Mammalia; Rodentia; Sciuridae
Source: RNAcentral
GGGAAGGAGAGGGGAAGGGGAAGGGGAGGGAGAAGGAAGAAAGAAAAGGGUCUCAUUAAGUUGCCCUGGCUGGCCUCAAAUUUUUGAUCCUCCUGCUUAGUCCUCCCAAGAACUGGGAUUAUAGGUGAUAUUACCAUGCCUGGCUCUUUCUUUCCUUAUUAGUACUGAUUCAUGGAUUCUUACCUUAUCCAAUGGAUUUUAAUCCAUUACUAUCAUUAUUUAUUUUGAUUUUCAAAUUGUCCAGAUUUGGUCAGAAGUUCCCUUGCGUGCUCCUGUCAUCUUUUGAGCAUUUUCUUACUUUUUAGCAUCACAGGAUGUUCCAGGUUCAUCUUGUACAAAUCUGGAAUUAGCCAUUUCUCCAAGGAGACUUGGCUCUCUGGAGCAGGCAAUGGUGUUUAGAAUUGGAGACCUGGGAAAUAAAUGUGCUCCUUGAUACUGGGGUGUC